This 1056-nucleotide long non-coding RNA is filed under the name Pogona vitticeps (central bearded dragon). RNAcentral's name for it is "lncRNA (ENSPVIG00000008771.1)". The record is from RNAcentral. Lineage: Eukaryota; Metazoa; Chordata; Lepidosauria; Squamata; Agamidae.
AAGCACACAUUUGAACUACUGGGGUGGGUGUGGGAGAGGACAAUCAGUAUUAACCAUUUAGAUGCAAGCUGCUUCGGACAGAAGGAAGUAACUCAACCGCUCAUCUUAACGUUCCUCUCUCAUCUAGAUUGGAAACUUGUUUCACUUAAUGCCAAACCACUGCCAGUUAGGAGAAUCAAUUACAGCCAUUUUCCAAAAUAAAAUAUUAGACUGCAUUUGUUACGUAUGUGCGUGAUGUGUCCAUACUUUAAUGAAACUUCUGUGCAGUAGUUCAGCAAGACAAUUGUAAUUCAAUUGUAUAUUGCUUCACCUCAUUGUAUUGUGAGACUUCUGAAGAAGGUAUGAAGAACACAUGGCCAUCCAGCUGCUUCUGAACAACUCCCAUCAUCUUUCACUAUUAACUGUGCUGGCUAGAACAGUUUUGCAUUGGGGGGGGUCACAGGUUCCUUGAUGUUACUCUAAAUCCUUGCAUCUACUUGGGAGACAUUGUGCUGUGUUAGAUUCCUGAUAAAGUCAAUGGAUUGCAGGUAACACUGAAAAAUGCUGAGUCAUCCUGGAAGAGCGGCCUUGAGGGUUGCAUUUUUUUUUUAAAAAAAAUUGUAUCCAAUUUCAACUUCUAGAUGUUAUUUUGCAGGACUGAAGAAGCUCAGUAACGGGCGGGGGGUUUACUGAGCUUGGGCAGGGAGUUUACUGAGCUUUGUCUCCAUUGCUAAUGGUGAGGAACAGCAUGGGGAGAGGGACACAUUUCUAUCCCCCCCAACCCCAUGUUGUAGUAUUAGGGAAUAACUAGAAUUUGUUGAAAACUAUAAUUGUAAGCAGGAUAUUUAGGCACCUUUUACUUGUACAGCUUUUAGGAUUCUAUUUUUUUGUAAGAAAGAAAAUUGAGAACUCCAAAAGGAUUUGCAUAAUAGAACCAUCUCUGCAGCAGUCAUUUAUUUGGGGGGGGGGAGAUGACUGAGGCUGGAUAUCCAAUGUGGUGCACUGCAUAGAGUAAGGAAGUGGUCCCCAACCUUGGGCCUCCAGAUGUUCUUGGACUUUCAACUGCAAGAAAUCCUG